CGGAAUAGUGGCAAACGGGUGAGUAACACGUAAGUAACCUGCCCUUAAGUGGGGAAUAACCCCGGGAAACCGGAGCUAAUACCGCAUGUGGUGAUGGAGGUAAAGCUUCAUCAUUAAAGCCUUCGGGCGCUUGAGGAUGGGCUUGCGUCUGAUUAGCUAGUUGGUAGGGUAAUGGUCUACCAAGGCUAAGAUCAGUAGCUGGUCUGAGAGGAUGAUCAGCCACACUGGGACUGAGACACGGCCCAGACUCC
RNAcentral lists this ribosomal RNA (251 nucleotides) under uncultured bacterium. RNAcentral describes it as "partial 16S ribosomal RNA". It matches the Rfam family "Bacterial small subunit ribosomal RNA", at positions 88 to 339 of the family's 1533-position model. The record is from RNAcentral.